GGUGCCAGCAGCCGCGGUAACACUGGCAGCUCUAGUGGUAGCUGUUUUAUUGGGCCUAAAGCGUUCGUAGCCGGUUUAAUAAGUCUCUGGUGAAAUCCUAUAGCUUAACUGUGGGAAUUGCUGGAGAUACUAUUAGACUUGAGAUCGGGAGAGGUCAGAGGUACUCCUGGGGUAGGGGUGAAAUCCUGUAAUCCUAGGAGGACCACCUGUGGCGAAGGCGUCUGACUAGAACGAAGCUGACGGUGAGGAACGAAAGCUAGGGGCGCGAACCGGAUUAGAUACCCGGGUAGUCCUAGCCGUAAACUAUGCGGACUUGGUGUGAGGGUGGCUUUGAGCCGUCCUGGUGCCGAAGGGAAGCUGUUAAGUCCGCCGCCUGGGAAGUACGGUCGCAAGACUGAAACUUAAAGGAAUUGGCGGGGGAGCACCACAACGCGUGGAGCCCUGCGGUUUAAUUGGAUUCAACGCCGGAGAUCUCACCAGCGGCGACAGCAGUAUGAUGACCAGGUUGAUGACUUUGUUUGACAAGCUGAGGGGAGGUGCAUGG
RNAcentral lists this ribosomal RNA (544 nucleotides) under uncultured archaeon. Its description in RNAcentral is "bacterial SSU rRNA". It matches the Rfam family "Archaeal small subunit ribosomal RNA", at positions 454 to 997 of the family's 1478-position model. The record is from RNAcentral.